This 352-nucleotide unclassified non-coding RNA is filed under the name soil metagenome. Its description in RNAcentral is "partial contains 5.8S ribosomal RNA, internal transcribed spacer 2, and large subunit ribosomal RNA". The stretch from base 1 to 120 matches the Rfam family "5.8S ribosomal RNA", at positions 35 to 154 of the family's 154-position model. The record is from RNAcentral.
GAUGAAGAACGUAGCGAAAUGCGAUAAGUAAUGUGAAUUGCAGAAUUCAGUGAAUCAUCGAAUCUUUGAACGCACAUUGCGCCCGCCAGUAUUCUGGCGGGCAUGCCUGUUCGAGCGUCAUUACAACCCUCAGGCCCCCGGGCCUGGCGUUGGGGAUCGGCGGAAGCCCCCUGCGGGCACAACGCCGUCCCCCAAAUACAGUGGCGGUCCCGCCGCAGCUUCCAUUGCGUAGUAGCUAACACCUCGCAACUGGAGAGCGGCGCGGCCACGCCGUAAAACACCCAACUACUGAAUGUUGACCUCGAAUCAGGUAGGAAUACCCGCUGAACUUAAGCAUAUCAAAAGCGGAGGA